Molecule: long non-coding RNA, 699 nt
Filed under: Coccomyxa subellipsoidea
Lineage: Eukaryota; Viridiplantae; Chlorophyta; Trebouxiophyceae; Coccomyxaceae
Description: long non-coding RNA (CSUB_LNC000707)
Source: RNAcentral
GCAGGCUACCUGCCAAUGUUCCCUGGGCACUCCUUCCUCCGUCGCAGAACAGUCCGGAGAGUACCAGCGACAGGCCACCAUGAUGCACCGGAUGUGGCAGCAUCAGAACCAGCUCUUCCCACAAGAGCAGCAGCCACCUGUUGACAUUGCACUGCCCCGCCUGCUGCGCCAAACAGUCCCAGACCUCGAGCCGCUCCCACCACAAGGUGCUGCGCUCAGACUCGCCACAUGCUGUCAGCAUCGAUCGCAAUUCAGCCGUGAUUAUCAACUAAAUCGAUGUUCGAAUGCUGAUGUAGGGCCCAUGGACAGGAAGUCAGCGGAGAUCGCCGUGCGGCAGGCCCGCAAGAACGCAGAGGCAGCGCUGGCGGCGGCUGCGAGGAAGGCGGCGGCUGCAGGCAAAGACUUUAACGUCCCACCAGGGUUCCAGGUGGACUUGAGUGGCAUUGUCAAGGUCCGCCCAAGCGCGCAUGCAUGCAUGGUGCUCCAAAUAGCCUGUGCCUUGGCUUCCUGUUUGUCAUUGUCACCAGAUGGCUGCAGGCCUCACAUCUGACAUUUUAUAGACAGGGCGCCUAGGUUGUUUACUUUACAGAGAGCUCAAGGACUGUGCUGGCGAGUUCCUUGGUCUGACUGAUUCAAGCCAAUGUAACAAGGUGUCUGAAUGACAAGAGUCAUGGACUGUGCAGAAUGACACAAGGGAGC